Molecule: transfer RNA, 68 nt
Filed under: Microcosmus sulcatus
Lineage: Eukaryota; Metazoa; Chordata; Ascidiacea; Stolidobranchia; Pyuridae
Description: transfer RNA-Leu (UUR)
Source: RNAcentral
ACUAAUAUGGCGGAGUUAUACGCGGUAGUUCUAAGAUCUGUUUACGGGAUAUUUAAUCUCUAUUAGUA